GAUGAACGCUGGCGGCGUGCCUAAUACAUGCAAGUCGAGCGAACAGACGAGGAGCUUGCUCCUUCGACGUUAGCGGCGGACGGGUGAGUAACACGUAGGUAACCUACCUAUAAGACUGGGAUAACUUCGGGAAACCGGAGCUAAUACCGGAUAAUAUUUCGAACCGCAUGGUUCGAUAGUGAAAGAUGGCUUUGCUAUCACUUAUAGAUGGACCUGCGCCGUAUUAGCCAGUUGGUAAGGUAACGGCUUACCAAGGCAACGAUACGUAGCCGACCUGAGAGGGUGAUCGGCCACACUGGAACUGAGGCACGGUCCAGACUCCUACGGGAGGCAGCAGUAGGGACUCUUCCGCAAUGGGCGAAAGCCUGACGGAGCAACGCCGCGUGAGUGAUGAAGGUCUUCGGAUCGUAAAACUCUGUUAUUAGGGAAGAACAAACGUGUAAGUAACUGUGCACGUCUUGACGGUACCUAAUCAGAAAGCCACGGCUAACUACGUG
Molecule: ribosomal RNA, 497 nt
Filed under: uncultured bacterium
Lineage: Bacteria
Description: partial 16S ribosomal RNA
Rfam family: Bacterial small subunit ribosomal RNA
Source: RNAcentral